RNAcentral lists this microRNA (22 nucleotides) under Salmo salar (Atlantic salmon). Its description in RNAcentral is "ssa-miR-23a-4-5p". Its record names the gene ssa-miR-23a-4-5p. Lineage: Eukaryota; Metazoa; Chordata; Actinopteri; Salmoniformes; Salmonidae. The record is from miRBase by way of RNAcentral.
AGGGUUCCUGGCACAGUGAUUU